Molecule: long non-coding RNA, 456 nt
Organism: Mytilus californianus (California mussel)
Lineage: Eukaryota; Metazoa; Mollusca; Bivalvia; Mytilida; Mytilidae
Exons: 2
Source: RefSeq, a predicted model, not a curated record
UAAAAUUGAGAAUGGAAAUGGGGAAUGUGUCAAAGAGACAACAACCCGACCAUAGAACAGACAACAGCAGAAGGUCACCAACAGGUCUUCAAUGCAGCGAGACAUUCCCGCACCCGGAGGCGUCCUUCAGCUGGCCCCUAAACAAAUAUAUAUACUAGUUCAGUGAUAAUGAACGCCAUACUAAACUCCAAAUUGUACACAAGAAACUAAAAUUAAAAAUAAUACAAGACUAACAAAGGCUAGAGGCUCCUGACUUGGGACAGGCGCAAAAAUGCGGCGGGGUUAAACAUGUUUAUGAGAUCUCAACCCUCCCCCUAUACCUCUAGCCAAUGUAGAAAAGUAAACGCAUAACAAUACGCACAUUAAAAUUCAGUUCAAGAGAAGUCCGAGUCUGAUGUCAGAAGAUGUAACCAAAGAAAAUAAACAAAAUGACAAUAAUACAUAAAUAACAACAAA